Molecule: ribosomal RNA, 425 nt
Filed under: uncultured prokaryote
Description: bacterial SSU rRNA
Rfam family: Bacterial small subunit ribosomal RNA
Source: RNAcentral
UGGGGAAUCAUGGUCAAUGGGCGAAAGCCUGAACCUGCGACGCCGCGUGAGUGAUGAAGGUCGUAAGAUCGUAAAACUCUUUUCAGGGAUCUUAAAGCCUGUCUGUCAACAACAGGCAGGUCUGACUCUCCCUGGAAGAAGCCCCAGCCAACUACGUGCCAGCAGCUGCGGUAAUACGUAGGGGGCGAGCGUUAUUCGGAAUUACUGGGUGUAAAGGGUGCGCAGGCGGGCUUGUGCGUCAGAGGUUAAAUCCCACCGCUUAACGGUGGAACUGCCUUUGAUACGGCAAGUCUUGAAUGCGAGCGAGGUAGGUAGAAUUCCUGGUGUAGCAGUGAAAUGCGUAGAUAUCAAGCGGAACACCAGUGGCGAAGGCGAGUCCCUGGACAACACCUGACACUGAGGCACGAAAGCUAGGGGAGCAAACA